GGCGAGAUGGCCGAGCGGUCUAAGGCGCCAGACUAAGGUGUUGUAGCGGGAUUCGAACCCGUCCACCGAUAUCUGGUCCGAAAGGGCGUGGGUUCGAAUCCCACUCUCGUCA
This 112-nucleotide transfer RNA is filed under the name Trametes pubescens. It matches the Rfam family "tRNA". Rfam says of the family: Transfer RNA (tRNA) molecules are approximately 80 nucleotides in length. The record is from Rfam by way of RNAcentral. Lineage: Eukaryota; Fungi; Basidiomycota; Agaricomycetes; Polyporales; Polyporaceae.